UGUUGAGGGUAUCUGGGAGAUACAAGCUCAUGAAACUGUAGAGUUAUGGACAAUAAAUUGUUCUCACGUUUCAGGCGAAGGCACUGCGUCCUUUGGUUGGAUGUAAGAUUCACUUCAUACUUUGUCUUGAACUUCAAUUACUGAAGCUUUGUGCCAUUUUCUUGUUUGGCAGUGGUGGCCAUUUGUUUGAUUACUCAAGUGCGGUUGUGGCAUUUCCAUUGUUAGGAUAAAUGGAAUUCUGGUGCUAGGAUAAAUGGACUGGUUUGUUUCCUCUAAGAUGGAUAUUUUGCAGCCACAAGCCAGAGAAAAAGGUGGUAAAUGUUGGCACAAAAUGAAGGUCAUGUGAUUGCUAAGGAUCCGUCCGAACCACACGAAGAUUCGUGGAGUGUUGUUGCCCCUUCAGGCGACCUGAUGUUGGGCCGAGAGCCUUGGACGAAGAUAGGUCAUCGCCAUGAACGAGUCAACAUGUGUCUUUGCUAGAGUGGACGGACCGUGUUCUUAGUGACAUCUACUUCACUUUUUUUACUUAUCAAAAGGAUUGAACGAUUAAAAGCCUUUUAUCUAUGUUGAUAAAUUUAUUCUCUUAUAAAUUUUUGUGUUUAUUCGGUACAUUUGUAACAAACCAUGGUGUUCAAAAUAUUUGUACCUCGUGAUGUGUCUGCAGAAGAUGCGAGUUGAUAUGCACA
Molecule: long non-coding RNA, 686 nt
Organism: Lolium rigidum
Lineage: Eukaryota; Viridiplantae; Streptophyta; Magnoliopsida; Poales; Poaceae
Exons: 2
Source: RefSeq, a predicted model, not a curated record